UUAGAUGAGAUUGUCAUUUCUCGUUUAUCUUUAUGUUUCUUUUCUAAAUAUAUAUUAUAUAAAUUUUGAAUCUGCGACUAAUCGAAUUUGAUUGUUUAUUUAUAUCACAAAAAAUUAAAUAAAUUUAAAUAUAAAUGAGUUAAAAAUUAUUAAAAAAAAUAAAUAGAGAUUAUGAUUUUGGUCAAAUUAGAUCCUUUUAUAUCGGAAUCUGAAAAUAUACAUAGCUUAAAUUAGAUAUAUUUUAAUUUUUGAUUCAUCUAUAAAUGUACUUCUCUGACUUUUUAACUUUUAAAACACCAUUAUUUCAUUAUCGAAGAUGAAAGUUGCUUUCAAACAAUGGUUUAUUAGUUUCGUUAUCCUCACAAUUCUUCUGUUUGGAGAAACGACAAUUGCUCAGAAAGGAAAAGGUGUCGACCAAUGUAAUGAAACAUUAACAAACAAAAAAGGAACAUGUGAUGCCAACCAAUGUAAAACCGCAUGUGCCAAAAGACAUAAAACAGGGCUAGGUAUGUGCACAAAUGGCGAAGACAACAACAAAGGAAAAGUUAUAUGCAUAUGUCAUUAUCAAUGCCCUCGCUGAUUUUUUUCAUCUACAUCGAAAAUCUAAUAAUAUUAAGUUUUUGUCAAAAAAAUAUAUAUAUUUUACAAAUUGUUGCUGGUUUUUUUGUUUUGUUUUGGUAAUCUUGUUGCUGGUGUUUUGGCAUAAUAAGAUGUAUUAUGUUACUGAAUACAAAUAUAAAAAACAAAUAUUGAUAUGCCCA
Long non-coding RNA from Brassica napus (rape), 761 nucleotides. RefSeq lists it as uncharacterized. The transcript has 2 exons. The record is from RefSeq and is a predicted model, not a curated record. NCBI's taxonomy places the organism in Eukaryota, Viridiplantae, Streptophyta, Magnoliopsida, Brassicales, Brassicaceae.